AUGAAACAAAUGUCAAGAGGGGUUGCAGCUGGCCUCAACGGGCAUGUGCUCACUCUGAUUGCACAUCCAUCUCUCACACCUGUGCACAACCUGUAGCUUGGGAUGAUCACAAUGUCGGAAACGAUGUUGAAAGCCCUUGCUAUGAAUUUUUACACACACGAAUGCAAGUGAUAGAAUGUAUAAAGUUAUAUAAGCGCGUAACAGCGUAAAUAAAUA
Molecule: unclassified non-coding RNA, 216 nt
Filed under: uncultured Pseudotomentella
Lineage: Eukaryota; Fungi; Basidiomycota; Agaricomycetes; Thelephorales; Thelephoraceae
Description: sequence contains ITS1
Source: RNAcentral